GACAGAGGUGCCAAGCGUUAGGCGGAAUCACUGGGCUUAAAGCGUGUGUAGGCGGCCCGGUAAGUCCGCUGUGAAAGUCGGGGGCUCAACCCUCGAAUGCCGGUGGAUACUGUCGGGCUAGAGUGCGGAAGAGGCGAGUGGAAUUCCUGGUGUAGCGGUGAAAUGCGCAGAUAUCAGGAGGAACACCAAUUGCGAAGGCAGCGCGCUGGGACGUAACUGACGCUGAGACGCGAAAGCGUGGGGAGCAAACAGG
Molecule: ribosomal RNA, 253 nt
Filed under: uncultured bacterium
Lineage: Bacteria
Description: partial 16S ribosomal RNA
Rfam family: Bacterial small subunit ribosomal RNA
Source: RNAcentral